AUGAACCCUAGCGGCACUUACCGACUGCGCUGGGACGAUCGAAGGAUCGGACGUGCAUGGCAGAAAACACUCAACGGACCGGCCUUGAUAGACAUAAUGGGCCUCAUACCCAUUAUUGUCCGGCCCAUUGGCAACGAGGCCCGAAGGCUCCCUAUCCAGCCCGGCCGCACCAAGCAGCUGAGCGAGCGCGGUCGCCCUCGUCGAUCGAAUCUCGGUCGCCGUGGCCUCCAUGGCCGGCGCCGGCGGACGCACAUUCCGGGACAACAACCUCCGUCCUUUCUUCCUCUUAACCGUAACCCACGCAUCCGGUCGGAUCAGAUCAAACACAGUGAGCUUCGGCAAACAUACCUUGGGUAA
Molecule: ribosomal RNA, 357 nt
Filed under: Triticum aestivum (bread wheat)
Lineage: Eukaryota; Viridiplantae; Streptophyta; Magnoliopsida; Poales; Poaceae
Description: partial small subunit ribosomal RNA
Source: RNAcentral